GUAUAUUUAAGUUGCUGCAGUUAAAAAGCUCGUAGUUGAAUUUAUUAAGAUAUUUUUUAGUCGGGAAGAAAUUUAUUUUUUUUCUUUAGACAAGGAAGUAUUCUUUACGUAUUACUACAUUUACACAAAAAAAUACUCAGGUAUUUUUUUGUGGCGCCAGUAAUGGUUUUUUGUAGUAGAGUUACUGUGAGUAAAUUAAAAUGUUCAACGUAGGCGGUCGCUAUGAAUAUAUUAGCAUGGAAUAACAUUAUAGUACUUCUAUCUAUUUUCUGACCUGUUAGAAAGGAGUAACGAUUAAUAGGGACAGUUGGGGGCAUUCGUAUUUCAUUGUCAGAGGUGAAAUUCUUAAAUUGAUGAAAGACGAACUACUGCGAAGGCAUUUGUCAAGGAUGUUUUCAUUAAUCAAGAACGAAAGUUGGGGGCUCGAAGACGAUUAGAUACCGUCCUAGUCCCAACCAUAAACGGUGCCGACCAGGGAUCGGCGUGUGUUAAAUUUUGAUAACCGCGUCGGCAUCUUGCGAGAAAUCAGAGUUUUUGGGUUCCGGGGGGAGUAUGGUUGCAAGGCUGAAACUUAAAGGAAUUGACGGAAGGGCACCACCAGGCGUGGAGCAUGCGGCUUAAUUUGACUCAACACGGGGAAACUUACCAGGUCCAGACAUAGAAAGGAUUGACAGAUUGACAGCUCUUUCUUGAUUCUACGGGUGGUGGUGCAUGGCCGUUCUUAGUUGGUGGGUUGCCUUGUCUGGUUGAUUCCGGUAACGAACGAGACCUUCGCCUACUAAUUAGUUGUACCAGCUCUAGUGUGCUAAGCAACUUCUUAGAGGGACUUUUGCCCUAGAGGCAACGGAAGCAGAAGGCCAUAACAGGUCUGUGAUGCCCUUAGAUGUUCUGGGCUGCACGCGCGCUACAAUGAUGUAUGCAGUAGGCUAUCCUUUUGCGGAAGCAGAAGGGAAUCUUAUAAUCUACAUCGUGAAGGGGAUAGAUCCUUGUAAUUCUUGAUCUUGAACGAGGAAUGCCUCGUAAGCAUGAGUCAUCAACUCAUGCUGAUUACGUCCCUGCCCUUUGUACACACCGCCCGUCGCUCCUACCGAUUGGGUGUGCUGGUGAAACUUUUAGAUUGGUACAGUUUUACUUCGUUGUCAAACGCAUAAGCUGAGCUGAAAAUUCUGUUGAACCCUCACAUCUAGAGGAAGGAGAAGUCGUAAC
RNAcentral lists this ribosomal RNA (1206 nucleotides) under uncultured marine eukaryote. Its description in RNAcentral is "SSU rRNA". It matches the Rfam family "Eukaryotic small subunit ribosomal RNA", at positions 599 to 1795 of the family's 1831-position model. The record is from RNAcentral.